GUCGAACGCUGGCGGCGUGCCUAAUACAUGCAAGUCGAACGCAGUGGGGACGGGUGAGUAACACGUGGGUAACCUCCCAUCAGAGGGGAUAACACUUGGAAACAGGUGCUAAACCGAUACUGAUGGAUGGAACCGCGGUGCAUUAGCUAGUUGGGGAGGUAACGGCGCACCAAGGCCACGAGGCAUAACUGAGCGGAGAGGGUGAUCGGCAACACUGGGACUGAGAAACGGCGCAGACUCCUACGGGAGGCAGCAGUGGGGAAUCUUCGGCAAUGGACGAAAGUCUGACCGAGCAACGCCGCGUGUGUGAAGAAGGUUUUCGGAUCGUAAAACUCUUUUGUUAGAGAAGCGGUAUCUAACCAGAAAGCCCCGGCUAACUACGUGCCAGCAGCCGCGGUAAUAC
Molecule: ribosomal RNA, 403 nt
Filed under: uncultured bacterium
Lineage: Bacteria
Description: partial 16S ribosomal RNA
Rfam family: Bacterial small subunit ribosomal RNA
Source: RNAcentral